This 201-nucleotide long non-coding RNA is filed under the name Elaeis guineensis (African oil palm). RNAcentral's name for it is "long non-coding RNA (EGUI_LNC062967)". Lineage: Eukaryota; Viridiplantae; Streptophyta; Magnoliopsida; Arecales; Arecaceae. The record is from RNAcentral.
CCACACAAAAUCUUUGAUCUGAUCAUAGAUCCGUUGCUUCAUCAGGGUGCUAGUGCCUUUAUAGAGGCUACCUCCUAGUGGUUGAUGCAGAUCUUCUCCAUCAUUUUCUCUUAGAUCCUCUUAGAGAUGAUGAAGAGUAAGAGGAGGGAGAGAAAGAAGAAGAGAUCCUCUAUCUCUUUUUUUCUUUAGAACCCACGCCAC